RNAcentral lists this ribosomal RNA (887 nucleotides) under uncultured Lentimicrobium sp. Its description in RNAcentral is "bacterial SSU rRNA". It matches the Rfam family "Bacterial small subunit ribosomal RNA", at positions 602 to 1502 of the family's 1533-position model. The record is from RNAcentral. Lineage: Bacteria; Pseudomonadati; Bacteroidota; Bacteroidia; Bacteroidales; Lentimicrobiaceae.
CCACAGCUCAACUGUGGAACUGCCUUUGAUACUGUCAGUCUAGAGUAUAGUGAAGUUGGCGGAAUGUGUCAUGUAGCGGUGAAAUGCUUAGAUAUGACACAGAACACCGAUCGCGAAGGCAGCUAGCUAAGCUAUAACUGACGCUCAUGCACGAAAGCGUGGGGAUCAAACAGGAUUAGAUACCCUGGUAGUCCACGCUGUAAACGAUGAUUACUCGAUGUUGGCGAUACACAGUCAGCGUCUGAGCGAAAGCAAUAAGUAAUCCACCUGGGGAGUACGAUCGCAAGAUUGAAACUCAAAGGAAUUGACGGGGGCCCGCACAAGCGGAGGAGCAUGUGGUUUAAUUCGAUGAUACGCGAGGAACCUUACCUGGGCUCGAACGUAAGAUGACUGUAGGUGAAAGCUUACAUCUCUUCGGAGCAUUUUACGAGGUGCUGCAUGGUUGUCGUCAGCUCGUGCCGUGAGGUGUCGGGUUAAGUCCCAUAACGAGCGCAACCCCUACCUUUAGUUGCCAUCAGGUCAUGCUGGGGACUCUAAAGGAACUGCCUACGCAAGUAGUGAGGAAGGCGGGGAUGACGUCAAAUCAGCACGGCCCUUACGUCCAGGGCUACACACGUGCUACAAUGGCCGAUACAGAGGGCAGCUACCUGGUGACAGGAUGCAAAUCUCCAAAGUCGGUCUCAGUUCGGAUCGGAGUCUGCAACCCGACUCCGUGAAGUUGGAUUCGCUAGUAAUCGCGCAUCAGCCAUGGCGCGGUGAAUACGUUCCCGGGCCUUGUACACACCGCCCGUCAAGCCAUGGAAGCUGGGGGGACCUAAAGUCGAUAACCGCAAGGAGUCGCCUAGGGUAAAACCAGUGACUGGGGCUAAGUCGUAACAAGGUAGCCG